Molecule: ribosomal RNA, 428 nt
Filed under: Curtobacterium flaccumfaciens
Lineage: Bacteria; Bacillati; Actinomycetota; Actinomycetes; Micrococcales; Microbacteriaceae
Description: bacterial SSU rRNA
Rfam family: Bacterial small subunit ribosomal RNA
Source: RNAcentral
CGAUGAUGCCCAGCUUGCUGGGUGGAUUAGUGGCGAACGGGUGAGUAACACGUGAGUAACCUGCCCCUGACUCUGGGAUAAGCGUUGGAAACGACGUCUAAUACUGGAUAUGAUCACUGGCCGCAUGGUCUGGUGGUGGAAAGAUUUUUUGGUUGGGGAUGGACUCGCGGCCUAUCAGCUUGUUGGUGAGGUAAUGGCUCACCAAGGCGACGACGGGUAGCCGGCCUGAGAGGGUGACCGGCCACACUGGGACUGAGACACGGCCCAGACUCCUACGGGAGGCAGCAGUGGGGAAUAUUGCACAAUGGGCGAAAGCCUGAUGCAGCAACGCCGCGUGAGGGAUGACGGCCUUCGGGUUGUAAACCUCUUUUAGUAGGGAAGAAGCGAAAGUGACGGUACCUGCAGAAAAAGCACCGGCUAACUACGUG